This 1437-nucleotide long non-coding RNA is filed under the name Salvator merianae (Argentine black and white tegu). Its description in RNAcentral is "lncRNA (ENSSMRG00000014999.1)". Lineage: Eukaryota; Metazoa; Chordata; Lepidosauria; Squamata; Teiidae. The record is from RNAcentral.
GCAACCUGCUGCCCAGGUACAUACCUCUGAUUUGCUCCUUAUUUGCCAGCCACACUACCAUGUCCAGCACACGCCGUGGAAAGCUGUCGUCCUUCUGAAAGCUGGAGAUGAUCUCCAGCUCUGAACGGCUGGGUUUUGCCCCUGCAGUGAAAUAGUACCCUUCCCAGUAGCUUGGGGGAGGCACUGGAAUCUACGAGGUACAAGGAAAAGCAACCAGCAUGGUCAAAACUAGCAGAGCAUCCCCCAAGAUUCCUUAACAAAAUGUGGAGGACAAACUAUGGCCUUACAGAUGUUAGUGGUGGCGGUUGAUGUUGUUGAGUAGCACCAAGUCGGGACCGAUUCCUGGUCGACUCCUUGGAGCCCUCUAUGCAGUUUUCUUGGCAGGGAGACAGAAAUGGUUUGCCANUGCCUACUUCUAGCAAUCAGACCGGCAACCCUCUGUUUUCCAGGCAGUCUGCUCUACCACUGAGCUUCAGCCCAUCCCAGACUCCAUGGGCACCUUUAUGCAGUCGGUAGCAUGAACUUUUGUAGACAAAACCUACUCCAUUAGAUGCAUGGGGUAAAGAACCUAGGGACAGACCUAUAUAUGUAUGAAAAGCAACAGGAAUGCAAAACUCUGGGUGUGGUGAUGAGGUUGACAAGUUCACUAUAAGGACGGUCAUUAAGGCUGUAUGAUGAAUAGAGGCGCAAACUUGAAAGAGUAUUGUAAUGUCGAGUGAUGCUGGCUGGCAACUAGAAUGGAGAUGUGAUGAACAGUCCAAGGGAACCCUCAAAUAUUAGCAAAGAAACUUGCCUCUGUAUGCGGCAAGAGUCGAACCAGAAGACUACAACAAGGAACAACCAGGUGGUGAUUGAGCCCUGGUAAGGUAACCGAAGAAGUCCCGUCUUCGAGCAAACCAGCUCUCAGCUUCAGCUGAAAUCCUCCCACGUUCAGGUCCCCAUCAGCAUUGUAGAUCCGCAUGCCACAGCUCCCUAUAACAUUUGGACGCAAAAGGGACAUUUUACCAUUGUUUACUUUAUUUCAGACAUCUAAAAUGGGCCCCUGGUUAGUGGAAGGCAACGGGUUUAAAGUGCAUGAAGAAAGGAAGAUGGUAUGUGAGAAAAUACUGAAAGCAGUUCCUUGCUCCUGCUGCAAAGAUCACCCUCCCUGGCAUUCAGGAAUCUGAACGGCGAGCAAAAGUGUGAGCCAAAAUGCACUGGGCUGACUGAGUCCACGGCCGGCAAAGUUUGCUAUAGAGAAUUGGUGAGAUUUGUCUGAACAGCAAACCCUUCUACCUCUGAUUCAGCCUGUUAAGACCAGGGAUGUCGGCAGGCAAACCUCCUCGCUGCAAGUGAACCCAAGCUCUCUGGAUGUCAGCCGUGAGAAGUUGGGAAGGACAAGAGAGAAAUACCUGCCAAAAAGAAGGAGAAAGGAGAGGANGGUAUCUAAUGCUCGGU